CAAGAUGGUGCGAGGGAAGUCGGCGGCAAACUUCCGCCCCAGGAACACGAACUUCAUACGAGGCUAGGUGACAUUGGAUGAGGCUGCCAUACAAGCCAAAGUCCCUACUGCCAAAGGUGUCACAGAGUAAAUGAAGUGGGGACAUGGAAGAAAAGUCUGCACU
Molecule: non-coding RNA, 163 nt
Filed under: Bacillus sp. OV194
Lineage: Bacteria; Bacillati; Bacillota; Bacilli; Caryophanales; Bacillaceae
Source: RNAcentral